Molecule: transfer RNA, 72 nt
Filed under: Xenopus laevis (African clawed frog)
Lineage: Eukaryota; Metazoa; Chordata; Amphibia; Anura; Pipidae
Rfam family: tRNA
About the family: Transfer RNA (tRNA) molecules are approximately 80 nucleotides in length. Their secondary structure includes four short double-helical elements and three loops (D, anti-codon, and T loops).
Source: Rfam by way of RNAcentral
GGGGAUGUAUCUCAGUGGUAGAGUGCAUGCUUUGCAUGUAUGAGCUAUUGGGUUUAAUGCCGAGCAUCUCCA